UUCCUCCAUAUCUUCGACCUUCCUUCGAUACACCUCUAAGGUGUCAGUCCAUCCUUCGGACAGGCUGAGGGCAUAAUGUUGCAUCUCUUCCAUCGAGACCGCUGGAGGACCAUGUUUGCCAUACACCUUGGAAUAGCCCCGGGCUCUAGAGGCAUCUCUCUGGAGCAGACAGGCAAGAACCAUGGUUACAGAGAUAGAGAUGUGUGUGCCUUUUGUCCUGUUAAUCAUUGCUGCAUUGAGGGAGGAUCAGAUAGACUAGACUCAAUCAUAGACAUGAGGUCCCCCUCCAAGGACCUCAAACAAAUGGGUCUGGAGGUCAUCUACUCAAGGGCCUCAGGAAGGUACCUGUGUGAUUUUGUGUAUUACUGCUCUCUGCACCAUGGCCAUGGGAGGGCAGCCUUCAUCCAUGUGCCAGCCUCAGGCAGCCUGGCCACUCCUGAAAGACUGGUACCACUGCUGCAGACUGUCAUUCAGGCCAUGCUCAACCAGCUGGAGGCCCUACAAACAGCCAAAGACCACAUGACAACUGUCUCCAAGACUCCCGAAGACCCAACCAUGGCUACCUCAGGCUUAGUGCACACGUGAGAUCAUCCAUGACUGGUUAGAUCAUCCCACUCGUAUUGUUACUAUUCAUACUGUAACAAUGUGUUGUAAACAGUAAGUCAUUCUGCUAAAUAUACAAGUAUGGAAUAUAGUCACGUAUGUUGAGAUGUGGAUAAUGUAUAACUCAUAAGCAAUCAGUCAUGACAGCAAGUCAUCAUUCUCAUUCACUUUUUUAUUCAAAUUUUAAGAAAAAAAUACAAGAAAUUCUCAUAGAUAUACAUUAAGAGAAUGGCAUGUCAAAAAUACACCAUCUCAAUUAUACGUGUGAAAAACCAGGAGGCCUCAGAUACAGAACUUGCAAAAAGAUAGUCUAGCCAAGCUGUUUAACCAAAUCUAUUUGCCAAUCAUUGAAAUGACACAGAGAUUCAGAUUUUGUGAAAGUAUAGGUAAAUAAAAACGAAGUAAAAUCUUCUCAGUAGAUCAAGGCCCCUUUUUGAAGUUGUCGGAAUGCAAAGCAGAACAACAGUGCCUGAAAAAUUAUACUGAUAAACCUCAAGCUCAUUAUUGCGAUUUGAUUGCAUGGAUGCAUCUUCUAUAAACCUGAGGUUUGCAUAUAGGACAUUCUGAAGAAAAUACAAUUACAAUUAUAUUAAUAAUAAUUGAAAUGAAACCUUUUCAGUCAAUCUUAUCUCCGUGUUUGCAAAUUGGCAAUGCAAAAAGAAACCAUCUCUCUACUGUAAACAACUCUUCUUAAAACUCUAGUCAUGCUAUUUACUCUCUGCCAUGACUACCCGUAAUCUACUGAACAUGUCUGUCCUAUUUAUGUCCAUGUAUCUACUUGAGUUGUGGUUAUAAUAGGUAUGUAACCCUCUGGUAACUAAGGAACACAGCCAGCAUUCCAAGAAAACAAAUAAUCACUUCGCAACAGGCCAACCCUUUAACCAAUUUUGAUAACUGAAAAAAAGAAGAAAUACAUAUCACAUAUUUCUAUCUUUGAUCAUUACAGACACCAACACUUGAAAGACUACAUCUAAAUGUGAAACACUCCCAUCCAUUAUACUGUACUCAACAACAGUAGCACAGGGCCCUUGUUAAAACGGUGAUCUGAAUUAUUUCUUAAAAAUCUGGUAGUAUAUAUAUAUAUAUAGCCAUUUGUUUCUGCCAAUUCAUCCAACCAAGUCUCUUUUGCUGCACCCCCCCCCCCCCGCUUGACUUUACAGCCUAAAAAAAGUACAACUUCAGAAUAUUGAACACGUAAGAUUUCCAGGUUUUGUUGACCUGUGAACCCAAAAACCUUUCACCAUUCUGCUCCAUAAAUCAGAAUCAUGUUUAUAUGCCCUCAACUCCACUUGUCUUUUGCUCUACAAAAUCAGAGCUUCACCUUUCUAUGAACCUUCAUGACAAAGACCUUUGAUGAGAAUUUGAGGUCUAAAUCCAACCAUGCCAUCUCAACUACACUUCCAUUGAUAUUGGCCCAGUCUUAGAGGAUUUACACCCACAGAUUGAGACACCCUUUUUGAAGCAGCGCCAUUAUCAGCAGCAGUAGAAUAGAGAAAGCAGGGGGUGCAGUCUUAAGACUAAUCACAAUGAGGAGGAUCAUGAAGAUUACAAUGAAGGGACAUUAACAUCAACUACCUCAACAUCUGAGUCUAUUCAGAGGUUAAGUCUAUUCCAAGCCAAUUGGAACAGUUUAAAAAAUCUUAACAGGGGACAAAAAAAAUACAAUAUUUGAAUGUGGGAGCUUUGUAGGUGCUAUUUAGAAAAGUUAGUCAUUGGGAGCAGGUGGAUAGGAUGGAGAGAUUAGAUGAUUAAGGAGUACAGAGGAACCAACAGUGUCCUGUCUGUCAGAUGCAUGAGGAGGUGGAGCAGCAGCAGACGGCUGUAGAUGUUCUUUCUACAGUUGGUCUGCUUUGAGACAUCCCUCCCAGGACAGAGUAUGUGGUGUCUUAACCUCUGUUUGCCUUCAUGUACCACAAUGACUCCAUAUUGACCUAAUAUCUCUCGAACGCCAGUUAUUUCCACACUCAACUGCUCCCAGCAACAUAAGGGACAAAGCUUAUUUUCAUAGUUGUAGCACUGACUUUGAGAACUUGUGGGGCUAUUGAGUGUAGGAGUAUGUGAGUAUGGUUUAUGUUGUCUUCACUAAGAGGGUUUCACAGAAAUAAGUGCCAUCAGUUUUACUUUAGGGGAAAUCAGUACUUUACAUAGGAUAUUAGCAAUGACCAGUUUUACAAGAAGAAAUGUGUAAGCUGUAACCAGAAGCCAGUGUUGGCAAACAUUCUACAGGAGUUGUUUCAAUGUCAGUAGUGGUUUAGUUAUCCAGAAUUCAGGCUAAAGCCAAACAUCCUCUGAUCUACCUUGUUUUCCAAUAUACAGUACAUUACAAUAGCAAAGGAUUUCUGUCUUGCAAAAUGUCUUCAAUGAUUAAAGAUGAUAAAUGCAAUGUUUCCCAUUUUUUGUUUUUAAAAAAUAGCUUGACUCCAACAUACUGAUUUGUUUGAAAUCUACCUAAAUACAUAGAUACAAUUGAAAAUAAAGAAGUUAUCGUUCAGCUUCACCCUUCUUGGCAGCUGUAUGAUCUGAGGAUUUCUUGUUGUGAAACCCUUGUUUGCGGAGGUGAGAUGGGAUUUCUGCAGGGUGUAGCUACAUAUGAGGAGACCGAGGUCCAGACCUCAGUAAUUAAUUUGAAUUUAAAAAAGGAACUCUCAACUUACUGUUGAGAGUUAGAAUAAUAGAAUACAUAAGGUGCAAUUUUGAAACUUGGCUGUGCAUCAGCAGUCUCUCUUGUGUAUAUGUCACUGACAGUCACUCAAUCAGCCCAUGUCAGAAAACAUUGUAGAUUGGUAAAUUACUCUAGUUAGCUAUCUAGACUUGUAGUAAUCAUGGACAAAUUACUGACCGGGAACGCAGGUCAUGUGCCCAGGUGCCCAGACCUCCAAGGGGCCUCCAUUGAUUUAGUUAGUUACUCUCACUCAGAUAUCAUAUUAACAUGGCAUAAGUCAUGUGUAGAAUUGCAGGAAAUGAACUAUAAAACUGCAACAACAAAAAAGUUAUGUUUAGCAAAUGUAUUUGUUCACCUUUUGUUAAUAAAAUACUUUUUCUGCUACACAACUCUGUACAUUUUCAAUUAUAGUUUUUCAUCUAAUUGUAUAACUAUUAGGCUAUGUAUUUGUAGAACAACUGAGGUGAAUGAAGCUACAGCAACCAAUAUGACAAUGGUUGUUUUUGCUGUUCUCCAAAUAGCAUUUGGCAGUUUUUAAAUUGUAUAGAAAUGCUGUAAAUGAGAUUCUACUUUAUUAAAAUGCAUUGGCUACGGCCCUGGAUGUCUGAGUUAGCUGUGUCCUUCUCUCUACCAAUACAUACUGUACUGUGACUUUAUGUAGUCUACUGUAAACACUUCCUAUCACAAUAGUCAUUUGAUGUUAUUCUAAGUUAGCAUUAUUAGGUAACCAGGUUAGCAUGUUAGCGCUCAAACCAUGAGAGUCGGACUUAAGCCAUUUCCUGAGAAAUACAGGCCAGUCAAUGUCUUUUAUUAAAUCAAACCUGUAACAUAAUCUGUACCACAUACAUUAAAAAUCCUCAUACUUUCUCAUACUACCAACAUACUUUAUUUUCUAUUUAAAAUCUUUGGACCAGCAGAAAAUUUUGUUGAUACAGCAAUCGUUAAGCAUACGGGACUAAAUAGAAUUAGAACCACACGAGCUACAUCCCAUCUCCACUCCAACCUAGGUGUGUGUGUGGUGUGUAUUGAUAAUGAGGUCUACCCGGAUCCAGAGGACUGUGAGGUUACCUUAUACGGACUAAUGAGAAAAGGUGAGAUGUACUUUUGUUUUCAUACACAUACAUAUACUUUAAAAGAGUGAGGUAGAUAUAUACUUGAAGGGAAAAAAAGAAAAACAUCCCCAGUCAUGACACCAAAGAAAAUACAUAUAAAGAAAUCCAACUUUAUACUGAAUCAUGGGGCCUUUAUACAGUGAUUUAAACUGAUAUCACAAAAGGAAAAUUAAAAAAUAAAUAACAAUCCUACAGAGAACCUUCAAAGAAGGAAACAAUAAUCACCAAGCAACACUUUUUCAAAAGGAGAAGUGCUUCAAAAACAUUUUUCAUACCGACACCCCCACUAAGACCUAUUCCAUUCAUGACAUUGAAAUGUGACCACUUCCCUGGACUUUAACCCAUCCUUAUUUGGUUUACAGAUGCCAUGUUUAAGGAGAAGAACAACAGAAACUGUUUUCACUUUCAUCACAAGAAAAUGAGUAUGACAACAGAAAUGAAUCGAAUGAUAAAGGAGAAUAAGCAGUAAUGCUGUGUUUGAAAUCUAAGACACAAAAAGAGAACCAUGAUUAUGGAUGAGUCUUCUUUGAGGGGAUGGUGAGUGGUUGGGAUAAUUAAGGCAAACAAGACAACCCAAUUAGCCCUAUUAAUUGAGAGGCAGGAAAAUGGAUGGGUUAAAACACCAGAUGCAGUAGAAAAAAAGAAAAUCCCGUGGAACUAAUCCUGACUUCAAAAGGAGGCACUGGGGGAGGCAGGUAUACUGUACAUUUCAGUGUGGGGCUGGAGGGGAGGGGAGAGGGCACUAUUGGACUCGACAGAGAGGUGAAACAAGCAGAGGACAGUAAUGAGAAUGUAUGGAGAAAGCAAAACCUUUACUUCGACCUGAGAUUGAGUUGCACCUAGGGGGGAAUAACUAGGCGCAGUGCUAGACAACUGGUACAAGAAGGGUGACAAAUGUACACGCUCACACAUGGAGCUAAGGUGUCCAUUCAAACUAAUAAUAAUAAUAAUAAUAAUAUAGAAAUCUACAAAAAAAGAAUGCAAAGGAAAACAUGUUCAUAAAAAAGUUAAAGGCAAUGGAGAAUAUGUGGUGAUACAGACAACCUUCUGGGGUAAAGAAGAGAGAAAAGUCAUUUUAUAUCUAAAUUAUCAUUUUCUUUGCUUGGAGAAGUAUGAUGCAUAAGAAAUGGACUGUAGUGGAGAUCAUAAACUAUUAAACCUGAAGGAUUCCUUUUAUAUAUAUAUAUAGGAUUCCUUAUAUAUAUAUAUAUAUAUAUAUAUAUAUAGGAUUCCUUAUAUAUAUAUAUAUAUAUAUAUAUAUAUAUAUAUAUAUAUAUAUAUAAAAAACAUCUACAAAAGAAAAAGAAUAAAAUAGCAGCUUCAUUCUGUACAGGUGAACAUCUGAACAGUACAAAAGUUAUAAAAGUGACAAACCAAUGAUGUGUGUGAAAAUGAUCCUAAGGUCUAACAUACAACUGUAAGACCUUUAUAUAAAUGUUUGAAUUGUACAGAGAGACUAAUGACAAGUCUAAAAAAGAUCUGCUGCGUACAAUGCCUCGCAUGCUUUUAGCAGACGUAUGUAUAGUCACAAGGUGAAGUUCUGUUGAGUCUUUUAGUUCUCCUUGUAUCAGAACUGAUCCAAUACCUUCCACUUCAGGUUUGUUUCUGUAUGUGUUGCAUUUUUGGCGCCAAGUAUUUUUCGCUCAAUGUCUCUGUUGGUGAUGUUGGUGUUUUCAUCUCUCAGAUGACACAUACAAUAGAAGAGGAAUCCAAUAAGGGCUCUGAUGUAAC
This is a long non-coding RNA of Oncorhynchus kisutch (coho salmon), 6108 nucleotides long. RefSeq lists it as uncharacterized. The transcript is spliced from 3 exons. NCBI's taxonomy places the organism in Eukaryota, Metazoa, Chordata, Actinopteri, Salmoniformes, Salmonidae. The record is from RefSeq and is a predicted model, not a curated record.